CCGCUGAACUUAAGCAUAUCAAUAAGCGGAGGAAAAGAAACCAACAGGGAUUGCCCUAGUAACGGCGAGUGAAGCGGCAACAGCUCAAAUUUGAAACCUGGCGCUUGCGUCCGGAUUGUAAUUUGUAGAGGAUGCUUCUGGGCAGCGGCCGUUCUAAGUUCCUUGGAACAGGACGUCAUAGAGGGUGAGAAUCCCGUAUGUGACCGGCGCGCACCCUCCACGUAGCUCCUUCGACGAGUCGAGUUGUUUGGGAAUGCAGCUCUAAAUGGGAGGUAAAUUUCUUCUAAAGCUAAAUAUUGGCCAGAGACCGAUAGCGCACAAGUAGAGUGAUCGAAAGAUGAAAAGCACUUUGGAAAGAGAGUUAAAAAGCACGUGAAAUUGUUGAAAGGGAAGCGCUUCCAACCAGACUCCGCGGCGGUGUUCCGCCGGUCUUCUGACCGGUCCACUCGCCGCCGUGGGGCCAACAUCGUCUGGGGCCGCCGGAUAAGACCGGAGGAAUGUAGCUCAUUGAGUGUUAUAGCCUCCGGUGAUGCGGCGCGUCCCGGGCGAGGUCCGCGCUUCGGCAAGGAUGUUGGCGUAAUGGUUGGCAGCGGCCCGUCUUGAAACACGGACCAAGGAGUCUAACAUCUAUGCGAGUGUUCGGGUGUCAAACCCCUACGCGCAAUGAAAGUGAACGGAGGUGGGAGCUUCGGCGCACCAUCGACCGAUCCUAAUGUCCUCGGAUGGAUUUGAGUAAGAGCAUAGCUGUUGGGACCCGAAAGAUGGUGAACUAUGCCUGAAUAGGGUGAAGCCAGAGGAAACUCUGGUGGAGGCUCGCAGCGGUUCUGACGUGCAAAUCGAUCGUCAAAUUUGGGUAUAGGGGCGAAAGACUAAUCGAACCAUCUAGUAGCUGGUUCCUGCCGA
Molecule: ribosomal RNA, 903 nt
Filed under: Zasmidium sp. ZJUM 47
Lineage: Eukaryota; Fungi; Ascomycota; Dothideomycetes; Mycosphaerellales; Mycosphaerellaceae
Description: eukaryotic LSU rRNA
Rfam family: Eukaryotic large subunit ribosomal RNA
Source: RNAcentral